GUCACGGAGGGCGCGCGCGGGUUGGUCCGCGGCCCAGGAAGGGGUGGCCUGAGACGCAACCGCUGUGUCCCCGAGCUCUCUCACAAAGAAAUGCUGCCUCCGCACGGGCGAGAGGUCGCCCGUCCCACAGCGGUUCCUCACCCCUGCUCCGCGCGCCGUCCUCAGCAGGAGCCCCGCUCCCAGGAAAGUCAGCACAGCCCCGCCGUCCGCAGCGUCCUUCAGUAUGGAGAAUGGAUGGAAGAGGGGCCAAAUUGUACGCAAGACCAGGUAAGCUACUGCAGGUAAGCUACUGCAGGGCUACGAGAGAGAUGCUUAAAUUUAUGGGGAAACAAAGCAAAUUCAAGAGAUCUUUAGGGGGUAAAAUAGAAAUUGUUGACAGAUUAAAUGGCAAGGGAGAGGAAGGCAUCAAGAGAAUUACUAAAUUCCAGGCUUGGCCUAUUUGGUACUAUAAAUAAUGGCGUCAUUCACUAUAACGUGGAAUAAGUGAACAGGACUAAUGACUUCCCCUCAAAAGUCUCAAAUGAUUUUGCUUCCCAAAGGGCAAGAUGAGUAAAGAAGGGAUAGGAUGUCUAAACAGAUGGUGACUACACUUAAAGAGGUAAGCACCACACAAUGUAUAGAACUGUCAAGUCACUAUGCUAUAUACCUGGAUGUAUUAGCAUUGUACACCAGCACUACUUCAAUAAUGAAAUGUUAUUGACAAAGAAAAAAAGGAGGGAUUGAAUUUGGAAAAGAGAAAGAUGGUGCAAAAACACAAAGGGGGAAUAAAGCCGUAUAAGAACUGAAAUAAAAACAAGAUUCCAAAACUCACCUUGAUCAAUAACCUUGGGCAUUGCCCACUAUGUGUCCCAGGUCCUUGCACAGAAUGUUUUCACAACACCUAGCAUCUAAUGACCAAUCAGGGGCCAAGAAAAAUUUCAGCAAAAAAUAAAUCCAUUUUGCUUAGUAUCAAAGUUUUAUUAUCUGAAAUAACUUUGAAACUAUGAGGCACUGAGAAAGUGAUUUAUUUCAUCAAAAACACUUCGGGAGAACAAUUCUUUGGUUGAGGUACAUCUAGAAUCAAAGAUUAGUGACCUGGGAAAGGUAUACAUAUAUAAAUUACCUGGAGAGUUCUCUUCUGAAAUAGUUCUUAACCAGUUUUACAGAGGAAGCAACUGAAAACUGAGGUCUUACGAAGUUUGUCUUAAGUCAUGAUAAAAGGUUUUGUUUGGCAUUUUAGAAAUAUCCUGCCUCCCACUCUUUUUACUACAAAUACAUUGCUUUCUCUCAAGUCAUUUCAUGAGUACAUGUACAAUCAAGUGAUAGCAUAUACCCGUAGACUACAGAUCACACUGCCUACUCUAACUAGAGAUUUUUUUUUUUAAGAUACUUUUAAACUAAGUUUUGAAAACUUAAGAGUUUUGUGGAAGUGCCUUAGGAAGGAUGACAAGGGUAGGGUACAGGUUGAACCGUGGGCUUUUGGGCCCCAUCCCUGCUUCAACUAGAAAUAAAUAAAUGGACUGCUCUCAUCUGUUCUAGAUAGUGUAGCAUUACAGUUUUGUGUUAUCCCUUUUGGAAUCUGGUUCUAGCAUUAAUGAUCAAAACUUGAAAACCACUGUACUUAAGGACCCAGGUAUGAAUCUGGUUAACAUCUACACUUGAACCAGGAUCCUUCUUGAUAGGUGAGAAGCAUAUAGACACAGGAUCAGAAUACAUAAGGACCACCAACAUUUCGGAUAUUUAGAGUAUAGAAUGAUCACCAAUUGUUAACAAUGAGAAUGGCUAAGGGGGAGGAUGUGAGCAGACAAGGAGAUAUUCAAGUUACUGUCAACUAAGAUACUUAUAGUUAUGGAAUCUCAACUGCUCUGGAGAAAUCAGGACUAACCUGUGAAAGCUUACAGACCUCCCUUCAGGCACACUGAAGCUAGAACUGUGGCCUCCAGAAACAUUUUUAUAUUUAGUGUUUCCACUCUCCUCAGAACCACUUAGCUACAGAAUACUCAGAUGCUGCCCUGCUAUGACUGCUCUCCAAUGGAGUCUGAACUUGGAUGGUAUCCUGCUACUAAAUGUGCAUGAAGGUAUGAAGUUUUACAAGAACAUGGCAUCAGACCAAGGUCUCUCUUUUCUUUCUUUUAAAAAUUCUGUAUGGCCUGUGGAGAAAUGGGAAUGCUCUCAGUUAACUGUAUCUGUUGAAUCUGUUCAGUGACUUAAACUUGGCCUCAAGCAUUGGAUCUUUGUGAGGCCAAAAGAACACUGCUUCUAAGUGCCAGAUAUGUUACUUAUUCACAUAAGCCAGAUAAUCAACUAAGAAUCCCUAGUACAACUGUUUGGUUCAGCUGCAAGCCUGCGGCCCAAAGGUCAUCUAUCUUGAAUUCAGGCAUGGCCAACCAGCGUUCAGUACCUACUCCAAAGUUUUAGAAGUAACCUAAGUCAUGGAAUAAAAAGUUGCUCAUGAGUCUUCUUGACAGUCAUCAGCAAAUUCCAUUAAUUCAUUGACUAUAACAUUUACUUUCAUCAAAUCUAUACUCAGUGAUUUUACAGCAACGAAAAUAUAUAACCAGUGUGGCACACAUGAAAUGAGAUUAAUUCAGUUAACACUGAUAGGCAAGGCACAAAAACAAGUGCUUGACUUAGAAAUUUAACUUUAUUUACAAAUGUUCUAUAAACAAAGAUGCCACUCUAUCCCUUUAAACUAUUAUAACUGAUAAUUUCCAGAAAGCCCAUUUACAUAAUCUUAAUCUUCCUGCAUAAAACUAUAUUAUGGGAUGAGCAAAUAUGGAAUGGUUUAAGAAUAUAAAAACAAAACAAAAAGCUUAUGUAGCAUGACUCUAUUGACAGAAUGAAGAAUUAAAACUUAACACCCCUUAACAUGCUACUCCAAAAAAUGGAAACGUGAUAAUUUGGGGGAGAGGUAAACGCUUCACAAUAGUUUUCUUAAAUAAUAUAGUUUGUGAUUGUGAUUAACAGGAUUGCUUUGCAGGCUUAUAUUUAGGCUGAUUUUGAAAAAGACGUCAUUAUUGUAAAAAGGGCAUAAACUUUCUACUUAGAUUUUUCUACCAAUGGAAAUAUGUAGAUAGUGGUCUGGUCUUAUUCAGGCCAAUUAAUAAAAUAAUAAAUGCAUGAAAAAGAACUUAAAAACAUAAUCAUUGUAUGACUAACUUAUAAAAUUAGAAUUCUCCCUGAAGUCAGAGAGUACUGCUCAAUAGUUGCUAUAAAUUUGAAUUUGUCAUAGCCGAAAUGAUAUAUAGACAGAGUUGAAAGUUAAAUUAUUCAAAUUAUCAUUUUAUAUGUAAUUACUUUUAAAAAAUCCUUUACAUUUUAUCUAGGAAGAUAAUCAUUCUCACAUCAUAGUUAAGUCACAAGGAACUUCAAAACUUUGAGAAAAAAAAUUAUCCCUGAGAAGUGAGAGAGAAAAAUCUCUAUAAACAAGUGACAGUCCUGUACCCUUCUAACAAUCUUUACGACAGCAUGACCUUUUAUUAACAACUGUCAAAUGUAUUCCAAUCCUGGAUAGUUACUGCCUCUGAUGAUCUCAUCUUUUUGUAAUGAAACUAUAAGUGCAACAUUUUUUUAAAAAUCAGAUAAAUAGGGACUCUGGUUUUAUUGUCAAGUUUACAUUUUUGUCAAGUGCGAGGACGACCAGCUAAAACAUGUAUAUUCCAAUAAUGACUGACAUAAUAACUUCUGCUGGCAUCUCUUCUUCUGAGUCUUCAUUUCACUCACUAUUCUUCACCCAAAUAAUAAAAGUAAUACAAUGGCAAUUGAGUUUAUUAUUAUCAAGGGCACUGCAAAGAAAAAAGAAAGUUUGUUACUGUGAAGAAAAUAGCAGAAAAAACCCUAAGUAAUAGUUACUAGCAUCCAGGAAGGAUGAAAAUAUCGAACAAUAUGUCAUUCAUAAUCAUGUUGCAAAUAGUUCUAACAAGAGAACAUGCAAUGGAUCAUAAAACCCAAAACUUAUUUUAAAGAAGGCUUGUGUGAUUGCGGUAAGGGUCACACUGGUACAAGUAGCUCAAUAUGAAAUAUCUGUGAAUGGUGCUGGUGCAGGGCUGGAACACAGAAACACACCAGGCCCAGGCAGAAGUAGAUCCACAUGGCUGUGACUUUUGACAUUACAAAUAAAGAGUAAAGAUUCCACAGGGAUCCCUAGGUGGCUUAGUGGUUUAGUGCCUGCCUUUGGCCCGGGGCAUGAUCCUGGAGUCCCAGGAUCGAGUCCCACAUCGGGCUCCCUGCAUAGAGCCUGCUUCUCUUUCUGUCUGUGUCUCUGCCUCUCUCUCUCUUUCUUGCUCUCUGUGUGUCUCUCAUGAAUAAAUAAAAUCUUAAAAAAAAAAAAAAAAGAUUCCACAGUUUCACCACUAAAUUAAGAAUGAACUUAUUUAUCAUUCUACCCAAAGUUGUGAUCAAAACAGCUAACAAAGAAAGAGGGAGACAGAGACCCUAAUUUUAAUGAUUUUAAAUAAAAACUUCUGAAUCCUUUUGCCAGUUUCUCUAAAAUAAUUUCCAAUAGACUGGCAGAUAUGGGAUCUUUAUUUUUCUCUUAAAGCCUUCUAGGACUCUAGAUGACUUUACUACUUGAAGCAACAGAAUUUCCAAAAGGUGAGAACACUGCUUUCAGGUCUGAGAGGUAACACAGGAACAGAUUAUACCAUUGAGCAUUCCAUUUUCAUCAAGUGGUUUAGACAGAAGUAAGAGGUAAACUAAGAAACUAGUAACUACUAAACAGUAAAGCCAGGAUAAAGAGAAAAAAAAACUUCACUGCAAAAACGGUGUGUGAUAGUAUUUACUCUCAGAAGCUUUGCUACUUAAAUCAAAACCACAAAAUUAAAACUUAAAAAGCGUUUUACUAGUUUUUCUUCUUACCUCUCAUCACAGUUCUUACAGAUCGAAUAAGGUUCAUUAGCUGAGAUUUAAUUCCUGGCUCCUCUCCGAAUCCACCAAUUCCCUGGUCUGCUCCCCAGCCAACUGCAUAAUAUAAAAAAAUGAUUAGCUGUGUUAAAAUUUAUUAUGCACUUGCCUUGCUCCCUCAUUAGUCAUCGUUGAAUCAAGAUUAGCUUGAGUCUUUGUUAAAAACAUAAAAUAUAAAGUUAGCUGACUUAAAAGUUACAAUACUGAUUAAAUAUUGUAGAGUAUAUUUUUUACUUUUGAUAGCACCAACAAUCUUACUUCAUUUUCACGUUGAUUUUAUAAAAUAGAUUACAGUCUAAAUUAUUCCAUGGCAUUUAAUUCAGUGAAGAUGACUGCUGUGACAUCCUGACUUUUUUUCCUCUUUUUUUCAAACAAAACAUUUUUCAGGUUGGAACUGGAAACCAAAGUAUACUGUCAAACUCAAUAAUUGAUUAACUCAAUUCACAAUUUAUAAAAUCCAACACAAUUAUCACUAUAAAAAUGUUGAGAUGCACUAUCUACAUUACUUGGGGAAAUUUUAAUGUAAACAUGGCCACGGCUUGCUUAGGCUUUCAGAGUAUGCUCUAUCCUGCUGGCAGGGGGACAUCUUUUCCCCCCUUCAUCACUCUCUUCAUUUCUCAAUUCUAGCUGUGGAAUUUAGCCCACUACUCCACUUAUUCUCCAUAAAAUAGUCUUUUAUCUUCUUCUGUAUCACUUUCCUGAUAUUAUAAAUCAUUAUUUCUUUCCCUCUAUCUGCUAGUUCUUUCUUUACUGCCAUAUAUUCUUCUUAAGACCUAUACAAGUCCUUAUUUCUGCAACUUAUCUUUCUCAUGUCUGCAUUUCAGGGCCAUUUUUUCAUACCUUACAUUACAUUACUUUGUAUCUCCUAUGACUAUAGGGCUUAGUUCCUGACAUGCUGGCCCUUAAACUUGAAGAUGGUCUUUAUUUUAUACAUGGAAGAAUCAAGUCUCAGGAAACAAGACUGCACUUCAUUUAAUCAACUUUUAUUUUGUUGACAUAAAAAAUGGUUGCUUGCUUUUUUGGUCCCAUCAACCCUGAGAUAUAUUGUGGGAUAAAACUAAUUUAAAGUUCAAGUCAUAAGAGAGCUGAUGGGUUUUGACUCACACUCUCCCUUCAAGGCCUAGCUCGAGUUGUGCUGACAACUGACCCGGUCCACAGGGGUGUCGCUGUUUUGCGUUUGUACACUACAGCCACCAUUACAGUGGCUACAAUUAGCCUCUAUGAUCUCUUGCCGGACUCUUUUCAACAGAUGCCUCUGUAAUCCAGCUGUCUCAACACCUUGAGUUUCCUCCCUUACAGGGUCUGGUCUUCCCACCUCGCAAUCACAUGAUGAUUCCCACUGCCUACCAAAUAUAGUUCGAACUCCUGAAACUGACCUGGCCCUAUACCCCACUACUACACCUUCCAAGUAUUCCUAUUCACAAUCGAUGCCCACUAUCUGCCGGACAUGUGAAAGGCAGCUUCUGAAUCUCGGUCAGACUUCUGUGUCAGGGCCUUUCCUCGUUCCUUCUCAUGUCAUAAUAAACCUUCCUUCUCUCUGCUCCCCAAACAGCCUCCUGACUGUGGUGAUUUUGUUCUCUUUCUUGGUUAGCUCUUUCCAAGUGUCUCUCAUUAGACUAUAAAAUCCUGAGAGAUAGGGACUAAAUUGAGUCUUUCUUCACCUUCCCCCUUUCCCGCACCCCUACCCCCAGCAAGUACUUAGUAUAUGUUUAUGGAAUUGAAGUGAAUGAUAAAAGCCCGAGUUAAUCUGGAUAAGGUGAAAUAAGGUAUAUUCUAGGAUCACAGUUCCAAAGAACUCUUAUUUCUUAAUUUUUAUGACACAGGAAGUUAUAACAUGAAACCGUAGACCAUUCCACUGUAGCUUUAGGAAAAAGGGGAAAGAGAUCCUCCAAUAUUAAAUGUACACAUCUAUUCAAGCUAAAAGUAAUUUUAGAAAAUAUACCUGCCUGGGCAUCACCCUCCUACUCAGGAUCUACUCUCUCCAGCAAGCAAAUAUACUUAUUCCACUUCAACAUUUGCUUUUACUCUAUUAUUAGCUUUACCAUGAUGUCCUUCCUCCAAGUAACUGUCUCAGUGUUCAAGUAGCUCCAUCAGUAUUGUCCACUAAAUGGCAGUCCUCUUUUUGUAAUCUAAGUUCAAUUGUAGCACCAGCCUUCACCCACUUACAGCACAGUAAAAAAACUAUUUCAUAUCCAUCUCUAGACAUAAAGGACACAUAAAAUGACCACCUACCAUCAGCUGUGUCAGUUUCCAACCUUCCAGCCUGCAUAACUGCUACAGGAAGAUUUCUAUGGAGAAGCAAUAUGGCUGGGAUAACCUGCAGAAACCUCUUUAACAGCUCUGUACAAUAAAAGAGCAGUAUGGCUCUGAUUCAACAUGAUGGGGUUGGAGAGGAAAGUUAACCCUGACCCUCCUAAGGUCCCUGACUAGGCCUAAAAAUGACAAUGAUAAGGGGCACCUGGGUGGCUCAAUUGGUGACUCUUGGUUUCAGCUCAGGUCAUGAUCUCAGGGUCGUGGGCCUGAGCUCUGUGUCUCUCUCCUUCUGCCUUUCUCUCCCAAAUAAAAUCUUAAAGUAGAUAAAGAAGAAAAGCAUACAAAUUCUACUAACUUUUUACAUGUACAUGGGAACCUUCAGAAGAGAAUGAAGACCCAAAGAAGUGACUAGAGCAGAAAGCUUUUGAGACAUUUGUGAGGAACUGAUAAGAUAAAGAAGUUUGAACUGGGAGUGGUGGUAAUAAAUGAUGGAAAAGUAACAAUGUUUGUUUCUACAGCCUUCCUCUCUGGUGAUACGGAUGUCUCCCUUCCUCCAGGCACAGGUUGGGUAUCCUUCACAUGGGAGACUAAGUGCUGGCUUUGAGCAAAGAGGGCAAGGGGAAUGGGGAGCAGAUGGUAAGAGUGACUGUCCUGCUUCUGCAAUUUUCUCAAACUCCUUCAGCUGAAGAUACUUAAUAAUGCCAAGGUGUCAUAUUUUGGGGUAGCAUGUCCUGAACUUUGAACCUCACCAAUGGAUACUCAUUUUUAUUUUAGCUUUCUCCUGAAACCCUGCUAAAAAUGACAGUAAAGGAUAUAGGUUAAUAAAAGAGAAGUCUUCAGGCCAGUGAAGUCAAUCAAAAUUUGGACAAUAAAAAAUAAAUGAAGAGUAACUGACUUAGUGGAGAAAGCAGAAACCUAAACUCUGCAGGGAGCACAUAAUAAAACACUCAGGUAACUUGUGCUAAGAAUGAGAACCCUGGGAAGGUGAGAGACCUCAGAGUACCAGUUUGGGCAAUGGGGACAAAAAACAGAAGGACUCACUGACAGUCUACAUUAAGAGCAGUUAGCUCCACCCCUCCACCCUCCAAUCUCCUUCCCUAGACUUGGCUGAUAGAAGAAUGUGCUUCUCACACUCUUGAUGUGAGUGUGAUGACUUUGUUGUCAUCAAAGACAACAGGUUUACUCUCAGCAGAGAAUCACAGAAGCUCUGGGCCUGGGGACAUCAGCUGUGAGUACUGGGAAUGAAGGUCUGCACACCAGUGUCAGACUCUUGCCCAUCUCCUCUGCUCAUCUCUAAAUCUGGUCAUGUACCACAUCCUGCAGGCAGGAAGUCAGAAAAUUACUUGGAAAUUGGCCAGCUGCCCAGAAAGAAAAACUUCAGAUAUUGUCAUGGGUGGUUGGGGGAGUGGGUCUCAACAAGACAACUUCUUCAAGCACCAGUGAGGCCCUCCAGUAAACAAGUCCCAACCACACACACACAGCUUCCAGUGAGCCUCUCUGUGCUCUACACCUAAAAAUGAACUGUCAAGAAGAAACAAUCUGUAACAUGGAAAGACAGAGCAAAAACAGAAAAAGGAGACUUGAGGAAGAGACAGUGCAAAAAGUAGAAGAAAGUAUUUUUACUAUUUUUUUAAGUGAUUGGUUUAUUCUUUAUUUUUUAAAAUAAUCUCUAUGCCAAAAAGGUGCUCAAAUUCAUGACCUCAAGAUCAGGAGUCUCAUGCUCUACUGACUGAGCCAGCCAGGAACCUUGGAAGAAAACAUUUUUAAAAUGAACAUCCACAGAGAGUAAAAGCUACUGUACUUAUGAAACAAGAACAGUAUACCAUAAAAAAGGAACAUUAAGGAAUUAAGACAGAGCUCUUAUUCUUGCUACAUUACCAUAAGAAGUUCAAGAGGUUGACAGAUUAAGUUGAGGAAACCUAUCAGACAAGGCUAAGGGAAAAAGAAAGAAUAUCAAUCUGUCAAAAUAAGUGGAGUUCCAGAGAGAAGAAAAAAUAGGAAGAAAUACCAAAGAAAUAUUAAGAGGUAAUAGUGCAGAACUGAAGGACAUGAGCCGUUAAACAAAAGGAUCCAAUCAGAAAACAAUCCAAUGAAUUAGAAAAAACAAAAACAACAAAAAAAGCCCACAUGUUGCUACAUUUUUAUAAAAUCUCAGCCCUCUGAAGAUAGAACACCCUAAAGGCUUUCAGAGAGACAAGUCAGGUUCUACAAAGUAUCAGGGAACAGAAUGGCAUCAGAGUUCUUUAUGUCAGUACUAGAAAUGAGAAAAUUAGGUGGAACAGUUCUUCAAAACACCGAAAAAUUAGUUCCACUCUAGAAUUCUAUAUCCAAACCACAAAUCAACUAGAAAAAUGACAUCGUUUUUUAUUGUUCAGCAGUGAGCAAUACUCAGUGACAGUAAUAUAAAUAUGGAAUACCAAUAUUACCAACAACUGGUUGGAGAUGGGAGAUGGGGGAGGGGAAAAGUGUGUGUACUUAUGCUCUCAUGAGCACAAAUGUGCUGCUGAUGGUAUAAUGAUACUAAACCCUUCCACAACAGUAUAUCAGUGGCUCAAAACUUGGAAGAGUUGAAAAUAACUGCUUUUGAGAAACAGGGCUCAGGUUGAUGAGAGACAGGGCAGGAGGCUUCUAUCUUCAUAAACACGAGAACUUUUUUACUUUAACAACCAGACACACACAUUUACACUGCUUUGAUAAAAAGAAAUAUGAAAUUUAAAAAGAAACCCUGUAAUGAUACUCACCCACUGGGGAAACCCCUCUGUAAUUAGGCCUUCCUCUCCAGGGCAUGAAUACCCUGAGGGCAGGGACAGGGUCUACAAAUGGAAAGGCUUCACCCAUGAGUCACUCUGGAUAUUAGAAUUAUGUUUUAAAACCAGCUUUAAAUGGUAUUGUUGGUUUUUUUCCUUUAUUUGCUUUUCUUGAAUUUACCAUUGCUAAAAUUAUCAGUCCUCUCCACUCACAGCCACAAUCUUUUAGAUGGUAAAAAGGACUUGUUUUCAGUAUAUUAUGGAUCAUGCACUCAAUUUUUGUUAGAAAGCAUAAUUCCCAACAAUCUUUUUUUUUUAGAUCUGUUUCAAAGAUGUCUGAAUAUAUGUUUUUACACUAUAAGAGGAGAGACUGCCUGAAAAAAAAAAAAAAGUAUUUUCCAACACUGAAUAAACUGUUCAACACAACAGGAUAAAACUCUACAAUAUUGGGAGUGCCACAUUUUAAGCAUCAGCACUGAAGUAAUUUUUAAAAAAUAGUAAGUUAUUAAUUAUUUUUAGCCUAGUCUCUAUUCUCAUGUCAUCAGAAUGAAAAGAAAACUAAAUUUUAGGUGGAGAGAGUAAAUAAUUUGACUAGAUAUUCCAUGGGCAAACAUAAAGGUGACAAGUAAAGGACCAGAUGCCAUGGAUUAUCUUUUACUAUAACAAAUAGUUCUCCCUCCAACUGCUACUUAGGGAGUCUCAGUUGUUUUCCUAAGGAAACUGGCCAAAGCUUUAAAGAGCUUUGCUUUUGUUUUUUUUUUUUAAAGGAAAAAGACUUAAUUCUGUAGCUCUCUUGACACUUCCAUAGCUAGAAGGCCUAGAAAAAAAAAAAAGAUAAGACCAGCCAGAACUGGUUGAUGCCAUAAUUUCAGGAAUCGAGUUAAAUAUAAAAAAAUUACUUAUUGCAAACACCAAAAAUGUUCUUCUGUUGCUCAGACUUCAAAAAGUCGUACACAAAAGGCAAUCCAUCCAGAUUCAGCCAAUAACCCUCAGUCAGAUACAUGCAGAAGGAAAGUAUUAGUGCAGUUAGUAUUAGUAUUAAACAUAUUAAUACAGUUUCGAAGGCUGGCUGACCCUGGGCAAAUCUCAGUCUAAGAUUAGCUUCCAUGCGUGCAAAAGAGAUGAGCGUGCUUCAUUCUGUCAGUGUCACCAAGUUCACAUGUGAAUCAAAUGCUACCACAGGUGCAAAAGUGCCCCAAAACUCCAGAAUAAAAAACUCUGCUAAUCUAAGGUUUAAAAAAAUUACCUUGAUCAAAAAGAUCAAUAUUGAAGUAAAUGAUCUGUUAUACUUGGACUAAUCUCUCUUGGAUCAAUGUAAUUAAUUCCCAGUUCAACAUAGUAAUUUCUACUUAAUCUGGGACGAAAUGCAAUAAAUGCUUUUUAGGAGUAUGUAUUUACAGAGAAACCUACAUGUCUGCAUGGUUUUCUCAAUGUUUUAUAAACUGCCAUGCUCAUACCAUGACUAUCACACAAGGCUUGUAGGAUGCCUUGCUCAUUUCUCUGUAUUUGUGCACACCUGGUUAACUGCUUAACAUCUACUUCCUUUAGGAAUUCUCCCUCCAUUACUUCAGCUCAUACAGCCCUCACUACUCUAAACUCUAUUGUUGACUGGCUCUGGAGCAGUUUUUUAACCCUGAAUCAGUAAUACCUUGUAAUAAUUUCACUAUUGGCUAUGGAUUGAAUUGUGUUCCCCCUAAAUUCCUAUGUUGAAGCCCAUGUGGAAAUGGGGUCUUAAGGAGGUAAUUACAGUUAAAUGGAUUGUAAGGGUAGUAUCUUAAUCUGAUAGGACUGCAGUCUUACAAAAAAGAGGAAGAGAGAGAUCUUGAUUCCUUCCUGUCUCCCUCACCUAGCCAUAUGGGGACACAGUGAGAAGACGGCCAUCUACAAGCCAGGAAGAUAGCCCUCACCAGAACUCGACCUGGAUCUUAGACUUCCAAUCUCUAUCUAGAACUGUGAGAAAAUCAAUUUCUGUUGUUCAAGCUACCCAGUCUAUGAUACUUUGUCAUCAGUCCACUGGAGAAGACCUGAAAGGAAACUGCAGUGGUGCUACAACCCAUGGAACAGGUCAGUGAUGGUUUCUGGGAGAGGCAAAUGGCGGAUGUAGGCCUUAAAAGAACAGCACGAGGUAAGUCAAUGUUGCCGAAGGCAGACAAUGUAUGUAUGUAUAAAGGCUCAGCAGUGAAGGAGAGCCCCACGGAAAGAAAGGGAAAAAGAAAGGGAAGGACAGAGAAGAAGGGACACAUUAUGGUGAGCUUAUAAGUCACAUAAGGGAGUGUGACUUUUAUAUUGGGAGGCUAUGGGUACUAGAGAAAAGAACUCAAGAACUUCAAACCCUUGAGGAACACGUUCACCUUCCUUGGAAAGUAGAACAGAGAGCAACAAAACUGGAGGGAGGGUGACCAGUGAGACGGUUACUAUAAAAAUCUAGGCAAGAGUUAAGAGCCUACGUGAAUAAUAUUUAACAAGUACUUAAAAUAUUUUAAAAUUCUAUUUAAAAACAUAUUCAGAUAUUUCACUUUUUAGGUAGUAAUUGCUAUACCCAACAUGGGCCUCGAACUCACAACCCCAAGAUCAAGAGUCACAUGGUCCUCUGAGUCAGCCAGCUGCCCUUGAAUAAAGGGAGGUUUUUUUUUUUUUUUUUUUUAAGUCAGCACCACACCCAAUGUGGGACUUGAAUUUAUAAUCCUGAAAUCAAGAGCGGCAAGCUCUACAGACUGAGCCAGCUGGGCACUGUGAGAGAUUUUAAAACAACAGCUUAUCCACUUAGACAAGCCAAUGUGGCAUUUAUGCCUUAGCUCUGAGACCAUAUUCAAAACACAUGUUCAGAGAAAAUAUCUGUGCUACUUCUGCAGAGAAGAGGAAAUGAAGAUAAAGUUCUAGGAGGCGAAGUAUUAACAUUUCUGGGCCAUUUGAACAGUUUGUAGUGGUUAAUUUUAAUUUAGGGGCAGAAAGCUAAGUCACCUGCAGAAAUCUGGAGAAGACACUGCUGAACUUCACUUCUGGAAAACUUAAAUGCAGGUCUGAAGUAAGGUCUGGGCAUUGUAUUCUCUUUCAAGAUCGUUUAGGCAAUUCUGGGUCCAUUUCUUCUAUAAGCAACUUACCAGUUUCUGCAAAAAGUCAACUGGGAUUGUGAUAGACACUGCAUUAAAUCUGUAAAUCAAUAAUAUUAAGUAUUGUCAUCCUAAUGAUCUCAAGUCUUCCGAUCCCUGAACACGGAUGUCUUUAUUUUAAUUAACUUUAAGAAUAUCUUUAUUCUUUAAUUCCAUUCAACAAUGCCCUAUAGUUUUCAUAGUAUGAGACUUGCACUUCAGUUAAAUUUAUCCCUAAGUAUUUUACUAUUUAUAUUGUAAAUGAAAUUGUUUAAUUUCAUCUUAAAUUGUUCAUUGUUUAUGUAUUGAAAAACAACUAAUUUUUGUUCCUGAUCUCAUCAGGAACUGCAAACUUACUGAACUCAUUUAUUUGUUCGAAGUUUUUUAGUAAACCCCCCCCCAUAUAUACACAGGAUUAUAUCAUCUGCAAACAAGAGAUAUUUUUACUUUUUCAA
Long non-coding RNA from Canis lupus familiaris (dog), 13425 nucleotides. RefSeq lists it as uncharacterized. The record is from RefSeq and is a predicted model, not a curated record. The transcript is spliced from 2 exons. Lineage: Eukaryota; Metazoa; Chordata; Mammalia; Carnivora; Canidae.